UAAAUAACUUGACUUACCUCAGUAGGUUGUAAUGCCCAAUAACAGCUUCAUAUCUUAAUGUUCUGUAUCACAGUUGUAUAUUUAGGAUGUCGGUGACAGUCAGAAGAAGGCGUUUCGUCAGUGGAUAACAUGUUUUAUGACGAGCCAAUAAUUCAUAAAGUGAAACCAUAAUGUCAGGGACAGGGCUCCUGGAUAUUUGAUGCCCCACUCCACCCUCAUUAUCACAAAUACCUGCAACACAAGACAUCCAGGGAGAGGCAGCUCACCUUUUCUUACAAACAUUCCUCCAAUUUUCACUGAUAUUGCAAGAUGGCGAGCCGCUCUAAGAUGACUGAAGCCCUGAGACAAGAGGUUGCCCAGAUGAAGGCCAAAGGGAUGACCCUUUCAGCCACUGCAAGAGAAGCUGGUCGUUCCAAAUCUGUGAUUUCUCGAAUCCUGCAGGUUUACAAUGACACUAAAGGCCCUGGUAUAAUUCAAGCGAAAUCGAAGAAUGAACUGAUGUGACAUCAUUUUGACCAAAAUCCGGCCAGAACGAAGUUCGUUUUGUAAGUUUGAAACGGCUUGCCAAAGCAAACUUUCCGGAAAAGUACGCACCAGCUGCAAAACACCUUCGUACUACAAUUGGUCCAUGACGAUUACGUCAUAGGAGGUGUGCUCUGAGGCUCCUACUUCUUGCACCCGGUACUCUUCUAUGGGUUAAUUUCAUCUGUCAAGUCCCUGGAGGUGAGAUGUCGGGGGUAAAAACUGAACACAGUGGAGAGCUGCUUUAUAGUAGUAAAUUAAAUUUUGCUUUUGAUGAAAUGAGACACUGACACUUUUUUUUAUGUUUAAUACUGCUGUUUGCAUUUAAGCUAUAUAUUGAAUAAAGUGCCAUGUUAAUACACGUGACAUGACUUCACGGGAGUGCUAAUUUGCAUAACUACAUACCCAUGUCGCUAUGAACAGAUGCUUUUUUUAAAUGCUUGCUUUUCAAUUUUUGUUGUGUUUAUUUUGUUACUGAGAGGAAUAUGCACAGCACAUAUUUACGUAUUCAUUUAAACAUCACUUUCAUCAGAGUGGGCAGUAUCGGGAUGUUCGCUAACAGUAUACUGCUGCUCACGUAUUACAAACUUCAUUUUACCCCUAAACGAAGAAUGAAAAAUAACUUUGUUUUGAGUAUAUCGGGGCCUUAAUUCAUUCAAGUCUCCCAAAAAGGCUGGUUGUCCAAUUAAGACAAAUACAUAAGAAGACUGGAGUCUCAAUGGGCAAUCAGUUCAACACUGCAGCUGGAAUUGGUUGCCAGUUCAGCGGUAAACAGGGUAAGGAUCUGUCUCGGUAUGUUUAAGAGAAGUCACACUGAAAGUGUACUCUGCAGUGACCAGGCCUUUCAGCAGAAAGAAUCAAUGGGUCAAGCUCACCUUUGCUAAAGAGCAUGUUGUGUGGAGAGAGGAGAACCAAUCCAAAGUUCACUUUAGUGACGAGAGCAAGUUUAAUUUAUUUGAGUCAGAUGGGAAACAUUAUGUUCAUCGUAAACAAGUCAGUGAAAACUGGAAGAGGAAGUGUCAAGGUUUAGGGGAUGUUUUCUGCAGCAGGAGUUUGGCCUCUUAUACAGACACAUGGCAGUGAGUGAAUGCAAAUGUUUAUCAGAGUUUCCUUCAGCAACAUGCAGUUUAUUCCCUGCAAGCAUCUCCCAAUUACUUGCAAUUUUCAUGCAAGACAACACUCCCAAAACUGUCCCACUGCAAAACAGGCAAAGCAGUUUCUUGAAGCUGAAAACAUUGAAAUAAUGAAAUGAGAGUCCUGAUCUAAACCCUAGCUGUAAAUCUCUGGGAAGUCCUUGGCUUCAAAGGUGGCUAAGAAACCCACUACAGUUACCGAAAUAUGGAAGAGAGUGGAAGAGAGUGGACCAAGAUCACACCAGCACAGUGUGUAGUGGCAGCAGAUGUGCUGAAGUCAUUCAAAGCAAGGGCCUCUACUCUUCCUAAUAAUUUCUGACAGCUGUAACCCUCCAAAAUUUUAGUUGAAUCUUCUUUUGUGCUACAGUGGUUGCUGUUCUCUAAUUUUGAUCACUGUAUUUUCCACAAAAUAAAGGUUUUUGUUGAAAUGCGUUGGAUAUAUUUCUACAUGUCAGUAGAACAGGGAUUUCUCCACAGUUAAUAUUCCUUCAAAUUUUGAGCUAUAAAGAUAAACAAUAUUUCAGAAAAAAAUGUAGUAUUUAUAGAUUGUAUA
Molecule: long non-coding RNA, 2208 nt
Organism: Cyprinus carpio (common carp)
Lineage: Eukaryota; Metazoa; Chordata; Actinopteri; Cypriniformes; Cyprinidae
Exons: 3
Source: RefSeq, a predicted model, not a curated record